AGUGCGCCACCGGGCCGACCGGUUUUUUAAAAGAAGGGGCGCCCUUGAGCAGAUUUAAGGAUGCUUCCGUGGUCACGAGCUCUGUGGUUGUCUCCUUUUUUGGGGAUACAGAUUCUCACGAUGGACACACCACGCUGAGUUCCUUGCUGACCGGUCUCUGUGGUUGACUCCAUGUGGAGGAGCGUGAAGACCAGUAAUGGACACCCCUGAGCUGGUUGAAGUGUUCUGCCAUGUUCAACGAGCUCCAUGGCGGCCUGUGUAUGCAGGAGCAUUAAGUCCACUAAUGGAUGCUCUUGAGUGCACUUAAGCAUUCAUGGUCACAAGUUCUGUGGUUGCCUCUCUUUGUUAGGAGCCUGGAGAACAAGGAUUGAUAAACCUGAACUGAUGUAAGCGUCCACGAGCUCCGCAGUUGCCCCUGUGCGUGGAAGCACGGAGAUGAAC
Long non-coding RNA from Galeopterus variegatus (Sunda flying lemur), 441 nucleotides. RefSeq lists it as uncharacterized. Lineage: Eukaryota; Metazoa; Chordata; Mammalia; Dermoptera; Cynocephalidae. The record is from RefSeq and is a predicted model, not a curated record. The transcript has 6 exons.